RNAcentral lists this ribosomal RNA (301 nucleotides) under uncultured bacterium. Its description in RNAcentral is "partial 16S ribosomal RNA". It matches the Rfam family "Bacterial small subunit ribosomal RNA", at positions 509 to 807 of the family's 1533-position model. The record is from RNAcentral.
CAGCAGCCACGGGAAUACGGAGGGUGCAAGCGUUAAUCGGAGUUACUGGGCGUAAAGCGCAUGCAGGCGGUUUGUUAAGUCAGAUGUGAAAUCCCCGAGCUUAACUUGGGAACUGCAUUUGAAACUGGCAAGCUAGAGUAUGGCAGAGGGGGGUGGAAUUCCACGUGUAGCAGUGAAAUGCGUAGAGAUGUGGAGGAACACCGAUGGCGAAGGCAGCCCCCUGGGCCAAUACUGACGCUCAUGCACGAAAGCGUGGGGAGCAAACAGGAUUAGAUACCCGCGUAGUCCCUGUCUCUUAUAC